Cucurbita pepo subsp. pepo (vegetable marrow) is the source of this 106-nucleotide small nuclear RNA. The record is from RefSeq and is a predicted model, not a curated record. Lineage: Eukaryota; Viridiplantae; Streptophyta; Magnoliopsida; Cucurbitales; Cucurbitaceae.
GCCUAGGACGAGAGGACAUCCUAUAAAAUUUGAACGAUACAAAGAAGAUUAACAUGAUCCAUAUGCAAGGUUGACAUGUACCUAUCGAAAAGUAGUCUAAUUUUUC